Syngnathus acus (greater pipefish) is the source of this 103-nucleotide long non-coding RNA. RefSeq lists it as uncharacterized. Lineage: Eukaryota; Metazoa; Chordata; Actinopteri; Syngnathiformes; Syngnathidae. The transcript is spliced from 3 exons. The record is from RefSeq and is a predicted model, not a curated record.
CAGCAUGCGUGUACUAUCAAUAAUGUACACUCAUUUUGGCACUGCUAAUACACUUGACUGUCAAACAACACAUUUAAUCACUUGGCAUUUUCAGAAAUCUUCU